UUGACGGGGCCCGCACAAGCGGUGGAGCAUGUGGUUAAUUCGAUGCAACGCGAAGAACCUUACCUGGGCUUGACAUCCCAAGAAUCCCCUGGAAACAGGGAGUGCCCUUCGGGGAGCUUUGGAGACAGGUGCUGCAUGGCUGUCGUCAGCUCGUGUCGUGAGAUGUUGGGUUAAGUCCCGCAACGAGCGCAACCCUUGCCUUUAGUUGCCAUCAUUCAGUUGGGCACUCUAGCGAGACUGCCGGUAAUAAACCGGAGGAAGGUGGGGAUGACGUCAAAUCAUCAUGCCCCUUAUGACCUGGGCUACACACGUGCUACAAUGGUUGGUACAACGAGUUGCGAGUCGGUGACGGCGAGCUAAUCUCUUAAAGCCAAUCUCAGUUCGGAUUGUAGGCUGCAACCCGCCUACAUGAAGUCGGAAUCGCUAGUAAUCGCGGAUCAGCGCGCCGCGGUGAAUACGUUCCCGGGCCUU
RNAcentral lists this ribosomal RNA (471 nucleotides) under uncultured Smithella sp. RNAcentral describes it as "bacterial SSU rRNA". It matches the Rfam family "Bacterial small subunit ribosomal RNA", at positions 910 to 1382 of the family's 1533-position model. The record is from RNAcentral. Lineage: Bacteria; Pseudomonadati; Thermodesulfobacteriota; Syntrophia; Syntrophales; Smithellaceae.